This 544-nucleotide ribosomal RNA is filed under the name uncultured bacterium. RNAcentral describes it as "bacterial SSU rRNA". It matches the Rfam family "Bacterial small subunit ribosomal RNA", at positions 358 to 916 of the family's 1533-position model. The record is from RNAcentral.
GGAAUUUUCCGCAAUGGGCGAAAGCCUGACGGAGCAACGCCGCGUGAGGGACGAAGGCCUCUGGGCUGUAAACCUCUUUUAUCAAGGAAGAAGAUCUGACGGUACUUGAUGAAUAAGCCACGGCUAAUUCCGUGCCAGCAGCCGCGGUAAUACGGGAGUGGCAAGCGUUAUCCGGAAUUAUUGGGCGUAAAGCGUCCGCAGGCGGUCUUGUAAGUCUGUCGUUAAAGCGUGGAGCUUAACUCCAUUUAAGCGAUGGAAACUGCAAGACUAGAGUGUGGUAGGGGCAGAGGGAAUUCCCGGUGUAGCGGUGAAAUGCGUAGAUAUCGGGAAGAACACCAGUGGCGAAGGCGCUCUGCUGGGCCAUAACUGACGCUCAUGGACGAAAGCCAGGGGAGCGAAAGGGAUUAGAUACCCCUGUAGUCCUGGCCGUAAACGAUGAACACUAGGUGUCGGGGGAAUCGACCCCCUCGGUGUCGUAGCCAACGCGUUAAGUGUUCCGCCUGGGGAGUACGCACGCAAGUGUGAAACUCAAAGGAAUUGACGG